AUUGAACGCUGGCGGCAUGCCUUACACAUGCAAGUCGAACGGUAACGCGGGGCAACCUGGCGACGAGUGGCGAACGGGUGAGUAAUGCAUCGGAACGUGCCCAGUAGUGGGGGAUAGCCCGGCGAAAGCCGGAUUAAUACCGCAUACGACCUACGGGUGAAAGGGGGGGAUCGCAAGACCUCUCGCUAUUGGAGCGGCCGAUGUCAGAUUAGGGAGUUGGUGGGGUAAAGGCCUACCAAGCCUACGAUCUGUAGCUGGUCUGAGAGGACGACCAGCCACACUGGGACUGAGACACGGCCCAGACGCCUACGGGAGGCAGCAGUGGGGAAUUUUGGACAAUGGGCGCAAGCCUGAUUCAGCCAUGCCGCGUGCGGGAAGAAGGCCUUCGGGUUGUAAACCGCUUUUGUCAGGGAAGAAACGCUCUGGACUAAUACUCUGGGGUAAUGACGGUACCUGAAGAAUAAGCACCGGCUAACUACGUGCCAGCAGCCGCGGUAA
This 498-nucleotide ribosomal RNA is filed under the name uncultured bacterium. RNAcentral describes it as "partial 16S ribosomal RNA". It matches the Rfam family "Bacterial small subunit ribosomal RNA", at positions 29 to 523 of the family's 1533-position model. The record is from RNAcentral.